AAUAAGUGCAGUUUUAGCACUGUUUAUGUCUGUUUGACCGUUCAUCUUAUUUAAAAAAAAUGUAUAAUUAGUAUUUUUAUUGUUAUUACAUGAUAAAACAUGGGUAGUACUUUAUGUGUGACUAUUUUUUUUAAUUUUUUCAUAAAUUUUUCAAAUAAGACGAACGGUCAAAACGCUAAACACGGAUAUCUAUGGCUGCACUUAUU
MicroRNA precursor from Oryza sativa Japonica Group (Japanese rice), 206 nucleotides. It matches the Rfam family "MIR812 microRNA precursor family". Lineage: Eukaryota; Viridiplantae; Streptophyta; Magnoliopsida; Poales; Poaceae. The record is from Rfam.